RNAcentral lists this non-coding RNA (29 nucleotides) under Mus musculus (house mouse). Lineage: Eukaryota; Metazoa; Chordata; Mammalia; Rodentia; Muridae. The record is from RNAcentral.
CAAACAGAGGAAUGUGCGUGCCACGUGGU